Long non-coding RNA from Larimichthys crocea (large yellow croaker), 785 nucleotides. RefSeq lists it as uncharacterized. The transcript has 4 exons. NCBI's taxonomy places the organism in Eukaryota, Metazoa, Chordata, Actinopteri, Sciaenidae. The record is from RefSeq and is a predicted model, not a curated record.
UAUACAUUGCCCUGCUGUAAUAAAAAUCGUGUAGUACUUUUAACAGUAAAAUACUACUACUACUAAUAAUAAUAAUUUAUUUGGUUUAAUAAACGUCACGUCAUUCACAUUCAGGUGUUCUGCCUGUAAGUACACCUGACAGAGUUGAGAAGUGCGUGCACAUGCGCAUUGGAAAUCUGCCGGUACUUUGGAGGCGGCGGAUUUGAACGGGCCAAUCAGCACACUGCAUCUGAGGACCAGUCGGACUCUGAUUUUGUACAGAGAGACUUCUCAUCCACCCUUAUCCAUCAGAGCUGCUCUCUUUCUCAGGUAAUGAAGAUGCUCAGAGUGCUGCAAGUGCUACCACACAAGAAUCCAGUGUGCCAGAUGCAGAAGACACAGUCACAGGCGGACCAAAAGAGGUUGAGAUGGAGGCUGUGCCAGCAACAACCUGCCUUAUUGUGUGUGGGUCCUCUUGCUUCACUGCUGACUGCUUCAUGUUGAGCAUUGAUCAGAAGAUUGUCAACGACCACAUCACUGCCUUCCCCUGUGCCAUCUGCCUCAUGUUUGGCAGUUACUAUUGCUUCAAUAUACACUGCCCAGUGGGACUGCGAUCAACACUGGAGUUCCUCCGGAGGUGUUUCUUUUCAAUAAAUCCGGAGAGAGGAACGAAAGUUGAGCACAGCAAAAGGAGGAUGUCUUUGCUGUGAACCCAGGAGUCCUCACACUCAUCGCUGACCUUGCAGACCAUGAGUGGACUUGAGUGGACCAUACUUCGUGAGUCAUGUAAUGUGAGGUGUAAUGUU